Molecule: ribosomal RNA, 492 nt
Filed under: uncultured bacterium
Lineage: Bacteria
Description: partial 16S ribosomal RNA
Rfam family: Bacterial small subunit ribosomal RNA
Source: RNAcentral
AGUGAACGCUGGCGGUAGGCCUAACACAUGCAAGUCGAACGGCAGCACAGUAAGAGCUUGCUCUUACGGGUGGCGAGUGGCGGACGGGUGAGGAAUACAUCGGAAUCUACUUUUUCUUGGGGGAUAACGUAGGGAAACUUACGCUAAUACCGCAUACGACCUACGGGUGAAAGCAGUGGAUCUUCGGACCUUGCCCGAUUGAUUUAGCCGAUGUCGGAUUAGCUAGUUGGCGGGGUAAAGGCCCACCAAGGCGACGAUCCGUAGCUGGUCUGAGAGGAUGAUCAGCCACACUGGAACUGAGACACGGUCCAGACUCCUACGGGAGGCAGCAGUGGGGAAUAUUGGACAAUGGGCGAAAGCCUGAUCCAGCCAUACCGCGUGGGUGAAGAAGGCCUUCGGGUUGUAAAGCCCUUUUGUUGGGAAAGAAAAGCAGCAGGUUAAUCCCCCGAUGUUCUGACGGUACCCAAAGAAUAAGCACCGGCUAACUUCGUG